UUCAAUAACAACAAAAAAUGGCGAUAAUCACGUUGUUCCAAGUGGUGUUGCUGCGUCAUUAGAAAAUAUUUGUCCAAACACGUGGAAGAAACUGCAAAACCGAGGGGGAAAGCGGGGUUCUGAGACGGCACGAUCAGUGCAUGAUUUAUAUUCGCCACAAACAGCGUGACAGAUCGCACGUACAUAGUAAGUCAAGGCGUCUAAUUUAAUCAUCCUUAAUUAUAACAUUGGUUACUGUUUUGAUCAAAUAUUUAAAACGGAUACCGCUUUUUACUGUGAACGUCCUUUUCUCACUGACUAGAUGUUUAAUUUCAGUAUACGCUAGUAUUUACAGACUGCAGUAUCCUAACUGUAUAACUUGUUAAGUGUGGACUAUGCAGUUUAGCAAUGAAACCGAAUAUAAACGGUAGUACAAAUGGACAGCUGUAUAUUUUUUUUGCUGGUGGUGCUGCUUCCCGUUUGCUUUCAUGAUUGCGCAGUUGUUAUUGUUUUUUUUUUUUUGGCAGCUGACGCUUAAAAUGUCCUGUGAUGGCAAACAUAAGAAAUUGAGUUGUUUACAUGAAGGAUCCAGCAAAGAGGGCGGAGUCCUGGGGGGGAGGAGGCUGCGGAGGGAGACUCGGACUGGGAUACUGGUUACAGAGUCCAGGGUGGUCUCGGGCCAGGUUCAGACAGAUCCGCAUUGUUGGUAUGUAUAUUCUAUCAUGCUAUAGAUAAUACGCCCCCCUGGUUUGUUCUAGAAGCCACUAAAGAAUAAAGAAAUACAGAGGCAAUUCAAUAAAAAUGAAAAAUAAAUAAAUAAAUAAAUAAAACAAAACGAUACAAACACUGUAUUUAAGUAAAUAUUCUCCAAUGUACAAAUAAGCAGUGUGUUCUAGAAAAGUAUCUGAACAGGACAGGAGUGUAGUAGUUUUUUUUUUUUUAAAUAGAAAGCUUACCAAAACUGGAUACCCAGGUUUUCACUAUCAAAACACUGCAGAGAUCUACUUAUUAUAACAGUAUAGUGUGCAGUGUGUAUUGCAUGAUUUAAAUGUGUAAUUAAUGUGCAUGUUGACUUGCAAAAUAUGUUUAACUAGUAGUUCUACUUAUUGACUGUGCCAAAUUUAGUAGACAGAACAAGAUGCAAUAACUUUUUUUAAUGUAUUCUUGUUUUUAAAACAUUUAUUUUGUUCCAAUUUUAAAGGCACAUAUGUAAAAGAGAAAAAUGAACUGUCCUGACCUGUUGUUUUUAAAAAUAGACUUUUGGUUUUUUUUCACAAUAAUUUAGAAAAAAAAGUUUUCUAAAGUAAAUCAUUACAUUUGUAUUUUUUUUUAAUUAUCACAUUUAUGAAUUAAUUAGUUGUGUGGAAUAACUGUUAGCUAUUUAAUAACUUUAAAGAUCAUUAACGUUUUAAUAGAAGUUACCGUGGUUCAGUUCAGUGUUUCUAACAUUAAAAAAAAAAAAAAAAAAUUGCAGAAAAUGUGCAAAUGUUACUUGGUUUAUACCAUUUUGUAAAUGUUUUUUCCCCAAAGAAAUGUUGUAUCUUACUAAUUUGUACUUUAAAAAUUACAAAUAAAUCCAGCCCAAUGUGUGCCUUUCACUGAACUGUGAUAAUGUGUUUUUACCAAGCUAAACUUUCAGUACAAAGGAGAGUUUGUUUAGUGUGGAGACACAUUUAUAUCAGACCCAUGAUUCUUAUUUACUGAAGAAAACAUUAAUAAACUGUAAAAAAAAAAAAAAAAAAAAAAAAAGUGAAACAAAAAGAAUCAGUUUAGUUUGUUAUCAUCCCAGUAACUACUAAACUGGUUCUGUUGUCAAAACUAAAAUAAAUAUUUGUCCCUUAGGGGUUAAUUGUACAUGUAAAUCAUAGGCAGGGACCUACUGGAAAUGCAAUAAGAUGUAUCCAGCGAACCGGGUAUCCCAAUGUGAUUAAUGGUAAGGAUGUUAAUUAGUGAGAUCCCACACAGAACAUCUGCCCAGGAAGUAGUCAGGAUGCUCAGAAUCAACUUUGUAGGUGCUUUUAGUACAUUAAGAUUUGUUUGAGUCUACAGAUAUUCCCUUUAAAAAGUCCAUUACCUUUUGUGACCACGGUUUGUAAAUAAAAGAUAUAAAGCAUGUGAUACAAAGCUGUUUUGAAAUGCAGGUUGUUUCAUUUCGAAAAUAUUUCUGUUUGAAAUGUUACUUAGGAUCCCUUAAGAUACUAAUGUCAGGUCUAACGCACUCAACUAAUGUUCAUAUUUUUCCAGUUGUUGGCAUGGCGUUCAUCCACCUACAUAUUUCCCCUGCUGUGUUUGUUUUUAGAAUACUGUCUUUGUCAUUAGCAAUUAUUUAUUGGUAAUGGCUCUUGCCAGUUUGUAUGGAAAAUUAUAAAGAUGUUGCUCUCUGCUGCCCUCUGGUGUAUUUCAUAAAUAUUAUUAUUAUUUAUUUCUUAGCAGACGCCAUUAUCCAGGGUGACUUAAAAUUGUUACAAGAUAUCACAUUAUUUUUACAUACAAUUACCCAUUUAUACAGUUGGGUUUUUAUUGGCGCAAUCUUGGUAAAGUAUCUUGCUCAAGGGUACAUCAGCAGUGCCCCCCACCUGGGAUUGAACCCACAACCCUACGGUCAGGAGUCCAGAGCUCUAACCACUACUCCACACUCACAUUAAGAUGAUAACCAGACAAAAUCUUUGUUCCAAAUUCAAUUAGACAAGUCAGUGGUACAGCAGAAGAAUUGCCACAACAUUCACAAUUCUGUACUGUAGAACUGUCAACCAAUAGGUAAUACAUUUAUUACACAAUGUAUAUUAGCCACACAGUAAGGCUGUGUUACAUAUUGAUUUUGUAUUUAGAGUGCACUAUCAUUAUUUUAUACUAAAAUGCUGUGUGUUGUUCUACUCAGAAUCGGAAUGUGUGUCAGGAGGACUGCAAUGAACGGAUCUGGUUUCUCUUGGGUUGUCACGGUGACUAUGGAACAGUGUUCCCAUUGGACAGCAGGGGCGGCUACUUGAUGUGACAGGCUGCCCUGGCUCAGUUAUCUCAGUGCUGAUGCUGUCCAUCUUAAAAGUACAGUACUGUGAUAACUGAAGGAUGGCAGCCCUCUUGGCACAGGAGACGAGACGUAAUGCGAAACCAAACUCGUCAGGUGCUGAGCAGCUAAAGGAAAUGAAAGCAAACCGUUUUGUAAAUCAUGUUUUUAUUUUAUUAAACAUAUCACUGUAAUUUUUGUAUUGUAACUUUUAUUACUAAUGUAUUUUGUUUGGUAGGCAAUUACUGUACUUUCAUCUGCUUCCAUUCCUAACUCCAAAUAAUCAUUGUAAUGCACUGAAAUGCAUAUUUUAUACAUCGGAACUCCUGGUAAAUCUCACAUUAUCCCGUUUUAAUGGACUUUAUUAUGAAGUGCAUAUUAGAUUAACCACUGAACUAAGGAGAACCAAACACUCACAUUCCCACUACAUGUCAUAAUAAUGCAGCUCUUUUAUUAUUUAUAAAAUCAGAAAGUGAUCAUAUAACCACAAUUUGUGCAAUUAUGCUUGUUUCACAUGUCCCUUUGACUUGUAUUAUACUAUUAUUUAACCUUUCAUUGUAUGUCCCUUAAACUGACUGUUUAAAUAAACAUUUCGAUGCAGAUCAUAGGUA
This is a long non-coding RNA of Acipenser ruthenus (sterlet), 3594 nucleotides long. RefSeq lists it as uncharacterized. The record is from RefSeq and is a predicted model, not a curated record. Lineage: Eukaryota; Metazoa; Chordata; Actinopteri; Acipenseriformes; Acipenseridae. The transcript has 2 exons.